CGGAUAUGGCGGAAUUGGUAGACGCGCCAGACUUAGGAUCUGGUGGGAGACCGUGGGGGUUCGAGUCCCUUUAUCCGC
RNAcentral lists this transfer RNA (78 nucleotides) under chicken gut metagenome. It matches the Rfam family "tRNA". From Rfam's summary of the family: Transfer RNA (tRNA) molecules are approximately 80 nucleotides in length. Their secondary structure includes four short double-helical elements and three loops (D, anti-codon, and T loops). Further hydrogen bonds mediate the characteristic L-shaped molecular structure. tRNAs have two regions of fundamental functional importance: the anti-codon, which is responsible for specific mRNA codon recognition, and the 3' end, to which the tRNAs corresponding amino acid is attached (by aminoacyl-tRNA synthetases). tRNAs cope with the degeneracy of the genetic code in two manners: having more than one tRNA (with a specific anti-codon) for a particular amino acid; and 'wobble' base-pairing, i.e. permitting non-standard base-pairing at the 3rd anti-codon position. The record is from RNAcentral.